This 259-nucleotide ribosomal RNA is filed under the name Bacillus subtilis. RNAcentral describes it as "partial 16S ribosomal RNA". It matches the Rfam family "Bacterial small subunit ribosomal RNA", at positions 482 to 740 of the family's 1533-position model. Lineage: Bacteria; Bacillati; Bacillota; Bacilli; Caryophanales; Bacillaceae. The record is from RNAcentral.
ACCAGAAAGCCACGGCUAACUACGUGCCAGCAGCCGCGGUAAUACGUAGGUGGCAAGCGUUGUCCGGAAUUAUUGGGCGUAAAGGGCUCGCAGGCGGUUUCUUAAGUCUGAUGUGAAAGCCCCCGGCUCAACCGGGGAGGGUCAUUGGAAACUGGGGAACUUGAGUGCAGAAGAGGAGAGUGGAAUUCCACGUGUAGCGGUGAAAUGCGUAGAGAUGUGGAGGAACACCAGUGGCGAAGGCGACUCUCUGGUCUGUAAC